CCUACGGGAGGCAGCAGUGGGGAAUAUUGGGCAAUGGGCGCAAGCCUGACCCAGCAACGCCGCGUGAAGGAAGAAGGCUUUCGGGUUGUAAACUUCUUUUCUCAGGGACGAAGAAAGUGACGGUACCUGAGUAAUAAGCCUCGGCUAACUACGUGCCAGAAGCCGCGGUAAUACGUAGGUGGCAAGCGUUAUCCGGAUUUAUUGGGUGUAAAGGGCGUGUAGGCGGGAGCGCAAGUCAGAUGUGAAAACUCAGGGCUCAACCCUGAGACUGCAUUUGAAACUGUGUUUCUUGAGUGCUGGAGAGGCAGGCGGAAUUCGGGGUGUAGCGGUGAAAUGCGUAGAUAUACGGAGGAACACCAGUGGCGAAGGCGGAUUGCUGGACAGUAACUGACGCUGAGGCGCGAAAGCGUGGGGAGCAAACAGGAUUAGAUACCCCAGUAGUC
RNAcentral lists this ribosomal RNA (443 nucleotides) under uncultured bacterium. Its description in RNAcentral is "partial 16S ribosomal RNA". It matches the Rfam family "Bacterial small subunit ribosomal RNA", at positions 338 to 795 of the family's 1533-position model. The record is from RNAcentral.